This 946-nucleotide long non-coding RNA is filed under the name Zea mays. RNAcentral describes it as "long non-coding RNA (ZMAY_LNC002022)". The record is from RNAcentral. Lineage: Eukaryota; Viridiplantae; Streptophyta; Magnoliopsida; Poales; Poaceae.
GAAAAUAUCCCGAGGCAACAAACGCAGGGCAACACAGCGAAGGACAAAGCGGUGGCAGACACAUGCCACACGCGAAGGGCAAGCGACGGCGGCGGCACGGACACAAGAUUCUGUCAAGCGUCGAUCCCCUCUGGUGGCCACGUCUCACCAGUAUUUUUCUUCCUCCAUGUCUCAACUAGUGCGUUUAGGGUUCUUCGUUCUUGCGUCUCUUCUUGGAUCUAGUAGAAUGGAGUAGCCCUGGGUCUAUGGCCGUGCGGAUAGGGCGGCUCUCCGAGAUGUAGCGGACGGAGGCCGUGGCAGGGACCAACGGCGUCCAGAUGCAAUGCGUGAUUGGAUCCGUGUGGUUCACAUCCUGUAUAAUUUGUUGAGAUCCUGUCACUUUGGUAAUUGCAAUUAUUGAUGGAGAGAGUAACAAAAAUGGUUAAAAGUUAGAACACAAACGUAGUGUGCUAGUCUGCUAUUGAAGAAGUUAAUGUUUUUGUGAGAUGGGACACAAAUGGACUGUUAUGAACUUGCAAAUGAAUUGUUACCUGCAAGGACAAAUCAACUUCGUUACUACUGUAACUUGCGAUGAAAUUUCUACUGAGCACUGUAAUCUAGCAGUUGAGCACCUCUACACAGUCAUGUUGACUUGCGCUGGAGCAAAACUUUGAAUGUUCACCUCAAGAGUUUAUAGUUGUUGACAUAUAUUCACAAUGGUAUUUUUUUAUUUUUAUGACAGGUACAAGGGUCAAGUCAUGCAUGAAGUAGCUCGAGUCUUUAGAGAAAAAAUGUCUUUUCUAUUUAUAUUAUAUAAGUUUCAUUCUAAUUAAUGUAUUGAAGACAUUUUCUAAAUUAUUUUUAUGUACUUGUUCUGUCAAAGAGAGGUGCAUCAUUAUAUGGAUCCAUGAUCUCGUCAUGGUCAUCACACUAGUGAUGUAGUCUUUUGCAACUUAUUAGUGUCAAC